This 404-nucleotide ribosomal RNA is filed under the name bacterium. RNAcentral's name for it is "partial 16S ribosomal RNA". It matches the Rfam family "Bacterial small subunit ribosomal RNA", at positions 355 to 776 of the family's 1533-position model. The record is from RNAcentral.
UGGGGAAUAUUGGACAAUGGGCGAAAGCCUGAUCCAGCAAUGCCGCGUGAGUGAUGAAGGCCUUAGGGUUGUAAAGCUCUUUUACCCGGGAUGAUAAUGACAGUACCGGGAGAAUAAGCCCCGGCUAACUCCGUGCCAGCAGCCGCGGUAAUACGGAGGGGGCUAGCGUUGUUCGGAAUUACUGGGCGUAAAGCGUACGUAGGCGGCUUUGUAAGUUAGAGGUGAAAGCCCGGGGCUCAACUCCGGAAUUGCCUUUAAGACUGCAUCGCUUGAAUCAUGGAGAGGUGAGUGGAAUUCCGAGUGUAGAGGUGAAAUUCGUAGAUAUUCGGAAGAACACCAGUGGCGAAGGCGACUCACUGGACAUGUAUUGACGCUGAGGUACGAAAGCGUGGGGAGCAAACAGG